UACGGAGGAUCCAAGCGUUAUCCGGAUUCACUGGGUUUAAAGGGUGCGUAGGUGGGUUGGUAAGUCAGUGGUGAAAUCCCCGAGCUUAACUUGGGAACUGCCAUUGAUACUAUCAGUCUUGAAUACCGUGGAGGUCAGCGGAAUAUGUCAUGUAGCGGUGAAAUGCUUAGAUAUGACAUAGAACACCAAUUGCGAAGGCAGCUGGCUACUCGGAUAUUGACACUGAGGCACGAAAGCGUGGGGAGCAAACAGG
Molecule: ribosomal RNA, 253 nt
Filed under: uncultured bacterium
Lineage: Bacteria
Description: partial 16S ribosomal RNA
Rfam family: Bacterial small subunit ribosomal RNA
Source: RNAcentral